GACGUAGGGCGCGAGCGUUGUCCGGAUUUAUUGGGCGUAAAGAGCUCGUAGGCGGUUCGUCGCGUCGGCUGUGAAAUCCCGAGGCUCAACCUCGGGUCUGCAGUCGAUACGGGCGGACUGGAGUUCGGCAGGGGAGACUGGAAUUCCUGGUGUAGCGGUGAAAUGCGCAGAUAUCAGGAGGAACACUGGUGGCGAAGGCGGGUCUCUGGGCCGAUACUGACGCUGAGGAGCGAAAGCGUGGGGAGCGAACAGG
This 253-nucleotide ribosomal RNA is filed under the name uncultured bacterium. RNAcentral describes it as "partial 16S ribosomal RNA". It matches the Rfam family "Bacterial small subunit ribosomal RNA", at positions 524 to 776 of the family's 1533-position model. The record is from RNAcentral.